This 253-nucleotide ribosomal RNA is filed under the name uncultured bacterium. RNAcentral describes it as "partial 16S ribosomal RNA". It matches the Rfam family "Bacterial small subunit ribosomal RNA", at positions 524 to 776 of the family's 1533-position model. The record is from RNAcentral.
UACGGAGGAUGCAAGCGUUAUCCGGAAUGAUUGGGCGUAAAGCGUCCGCAGGUGGCUAUGUAAGUCUGCUGUUAAAGAGUGAGGCUCAACCUCAUAAGAGCAGUGGAAACUACAUGGCUAGAGUGCGUUCGGGGCAGAGGGAAUUCCCAGUGUAGCGGUGAAAUGCGUAGAGAUUGGGAAGAACAUCGGUGGCGAAAGCGCUCUACUGGACCUCAUCUGACACUCAGGGACGAAAGCUAGGGGAGCGAAUGGG